This 1353-nucleotide long non-coding RNA is filed under the name Cricetulus griseus (Chinese hamster). RNAcentral's name for it is "lncRNA (ENSCGRG00015033399.1)". The record is from RNAcentral. Lineage: Eukaryota; Metazoa; Chordata; Mammalia; Rodentia; Cricetidae.
CGCUUGUGCAAGAUGCUGGGGAAGGAAGAGCUGGGAAAGGGCCAGUCCCACUGGUCUCUUCCCCAGGCUGAGCGGGAUGGAACCUAUGACUAUUGCCACCUCCCUGGAAAACCACUAAGAAUCUCUGAGUGUGACCAAGGACCCACUUGGAUUGUCCAACUGGUUCAAAUGCAGUCACCAGGGCUCUCCUGAAGGAGUCAGAGCAGGAGUGGUGAUGGAGACCUCAGUCACAGAGAUGCAGAAGGAGAAAGAGAUGGUGGCUCUGGAGAUAGAGGAGAGGCAUGACCCAGGAGUGCCAUCCAUAGGCCUCUAGGAACUGAAAAGGGGCUAGAGCUCUUUACUAGAGUUUCCAGAACAGCACCUUGACUUCAGCACAGUGAAACACCCACUGCAGACUCUGGUCCUCUAGAAUUCUAAGAAAACAAAAAUGUAAUCUUUUGUUACAAAAAUGAUAGCAUAUUCAUACAAUCUCAUCAAGUUUCUCUUGUAUAUCAAGUACUGCCAACUUCCUGGGCUUCACCAGCACUUUGGGUCCAGUCAGCAUGCAUGUCAGGGUCUGCUAGUGUUGUUUUUUUUCUCCUCCCUGUGGCCUAUACCCGGUACCUCCAGCUUCAUAGCCAAACAAGUCAUGAAACUUCAGAUACCCCUCCUCACCCGCUGCUGCUAUUACAAAGGUAUGCCACCACAUCCGGGUUCUCUGGUGCUUGGAAUCAAACCCAAGGCUUUAUGCAUGCUAGGCAAGCACUCUGCCAACUGAUCUCCAUCCUCAGCCCUUUUCACUUUUCUGCAGGUCCUUUCUAUGUUUCAUGUGUCAUCCCUGUCCCUCAGCUACCCAAGUCCAGUUUCAGGAUCUUUGCUUCCCCGUGCCAAGGAGCACUCUCCCGUCUACUUUGAAUGGGCAUCACUUCUUAGAAUCCUUCCCAGAUUCUUUCCCUUUAAAGAGUGUUCUCCGACUCUGCUCUAGGGUUUUGUUUCGUUUUUUUGGGGGGGGGGAGGGGAGAGAUCCACACUCCCAUUCGGCAUCCCCUGUCGCAGGGAUUGGCCUUAAACUGCUGUGCCUGGGCACAAUGCAGGCCCCUAUGGGCAUUUGUCCACUGAAACACAGGUGAAUAGAGCGACAUCUAAUUUGAGGCCUGAAGGCCAGGGAGAACGAGACUGACUAUGGAGCCAGCAUUGUCUCCGAGAUCCGUGCCUACCAUUCAUUUGUAAGACCAAAGCUUCUUGUUUUCAAGAUGAUACAAAUAGUGACUGAGAGCUGAGCGUUGUUAGCACAUGCCUUUAAUCCCAGCACUCGGUGCAGGGGGGCGCAGAGGCAGGCGGAUCUCUGUAAUCGAGACCAGCCUGGUCUACAAG